RNA transcript from Nycticebus coucang (slow loris), 740 nucleotides. It is a transcript of the gene named charged multivesicular body protein 2a-like, with no coding region annotated. The record is from RefSeq and is a predicted model, not a curated record. The transcript is spliced from 2 exons. NCBI's taxonomy places the organism in Eukaryota, Metazoa, Chordata, Mammalia, Primates, Lorisidae.
AUGGAGGGAGUGUUCAGUGCACUCCUUUAUCCCAACGUCCAGAAGGCCCUGAACUGCACCUUGUGGGAGCUGGACCACGAGCAACAAAAACUAGACAUCCAGGAAAAGAAAAUCAUUGCAGACAUCAAGAAGAUGGCUAAGCAGGGCCAGAUGGAUGCUGUGCGCAUUAUGGCAAAAGAUCUGGUUCGCACUUGGCGCUAUGUGUGUAAGUUUGUGUUGAUGUGGGCCAACAUCCAGGUUGUGUCCCUCAAGAUCCAGACACUCAAGUCCAACAACUCAAUGGCACAAGCCAUGAAAGGUGUCACCAAGGCCAUGGGCACCAUGAACAGACAGACAAAAUUGCCUCAGAUUCAGAAGAUCAUGAUGGAGUUUGAGUGGCAAGCAGAGGUCAUGGACAUGAAGGAGGAGAUGAUGAAUGAUGCCAUAGAUGAUACCAUGUGUGAUGAAGAAGAUGAAGAGGAGAGUGAUGCUGUUGUGUCCCAGGUCCUGGAUGAUCUGGGACUGAGCCUGACAGAUGAGCUGUCAAACUCCCCUCAAUUGGAGGCUCACUCAGUGUGGCUGCUGGUGGAAAUCAAGCAGAGGCUACAGCCUCAGCCCUGGCUGAUGCUGAUGCAGACCUAGAGGAGCAGCUCAAGAACUUGUGGAGGGACUGACUGCCCCACCUGCCACUCCAAGGGUACCACCAGAUGCCCAGGAUGGUUACCAUGAUCGCUCUGUAAUAAAAUACAUUGGACACUAAA